RNAcentral lists this ribosomal RNA (253 nucleotides) under uncultured bacterium. RNAcentral's name for it is "partial 16S ribosomal RNA". It matches the Rfam family "Bacterial small subunit ribosomal RNA", at positions 524 to 776 of the family's 1533-position model. The record is from RNAcentral.
UACGUAGGGUGCAAGCGUUGUCCGGAAUUAUUGGGCGUAAAGAGCUCGUAGGCGGUUCGUCGCGUCGGCUGUGAAAACCCGAGGCUCAACCUCGGGCCUGCAGUCGAUACGGGCGGACUGGAGUUCGGCAGGGGAGACUGGAAUUCCUGGUGUAGCGGUGAAAUGCGCAGAUAUCGGGAGGAACACCAGUGGCGAAGGCGACUACCUGGCCUGUUCUUGACGCUGAGGCGCGAAAGCUAGGGGAGCAAACGGG